Molecule: ribosomal RNA, 257 nt
Filed under: uncultured bacterium
Lineage: Bacteria
Description: partial 16S ribosomal RNA
Rfam family: Bacterial small subunit ribosomal RNA
Source: RNAcentral
CGGACGGGUGAGUAACGCGUGGGUAACCUGCCCCCAUACAGGGGGAUAACAGUUGGAAACGGCUGCUAAUACCGCAUAAGCGCACAGUACCGCAUGGUACCGUGUGAAAAACUCCGGUGGUAUGAGAUGGACCCGCGUCUGAUUAGGUAGUUGGUGGGGUAACGGCCUACCAAGCCGACGAUCAGUAGCCGACCUGAGAGGGUGACCGGCCACAUUGGGACUGAGACACGGCCCAAACUCCUACGGGAGGCAGCAUG